Molecule: non-coding RNA, 403 nt
Organism: Microcebus murinus (gray mouse lemur)
Lineage: Eukaryota; Metazoa; Chordata; Mammalia; Primates; Cheirogaleidae
Source: RefSeq, a predicted model, not a curated record
UAGCAUUUAUUACUGGCUUCCUUGGCUAAAAAGAUGCAAGGAAAAGGAAAUAUAUUCAAAUGAUAGGAAGAAUGACUUUAAUAAGUUCAAAGAGAUUAAAUCCAUUUUCUUGAGUCUGCCAUGGAUGAGAACAUCAUGGACGCUUUGGCUUUGAGAUAGAGAAGGAAGAGAUGGAGGAAAGGAACCAUGAGCGCUGCCAACCUGCACCUGUCCCUAACAAGUACUAGAAUCAGAAGUCAACCAUAUGCGUGUGGCCAUCGAAGUCUGGGGAAAGCGUGAGAUCAAAACCAAGAACAGGCCUCAACUGAGGAACAUUAGAGAAAAGAAAGGAUGGCUUCAACAGACCACUUUAAUGGACACAUUACAAUAUUUUCUGCAUGUAGUAAAUUUUGAGAUUAUAAAA